CGGCGGACGGGUGAGUAAUGCCUAGGAAUCUGCCUGGUAGUGGGGGACAACGUUUCGAAAGGAACGCUAAUACCGCAUACGUCCUACGGAGAAAGCAGGGACCUUCGGGCCUUGCGCUAUCAGAUGAGCCUAGGUCGGAUUAGCUAGUUGGUGAGGUAAUGGCUCACCAAGGCGACGAUCCGUAACUGGUCUGAGAGGAUGAUCAGUCACACUGGAAUGAGACACGGUCCAGACUCCUACGGGAGGCAGCAGA
RNAcentral lists this ribosomal RNA (253 nucleotides) under uncultured Pseudomonas sp. Its description in RNAcentral is "partial 16S ribosomal RNA". It matches the Rfam family "Bacterial small subunit ribosomal RNA", at positions 96 to 354 of the family's 1533-position model. The record is from RNAcentral. Lineage: Bacteria; Pseudomonadati; Pseudomonadota; Gammaproteobacteria; Pseudomonadales; Pseudomonadaceae.